UAUGUUCAUGAGCCUUGUACACACCGCCCGUCAAGCCACGAAAGCUGGGGGUACCUGAAGUCGUGAUAAACGCCCAUGGUAAAACCAGUGAUUGGGACU
RNAcentral lists this ribosomal RNA (99 nucleotides) under uncultured bacterium. RNAcentral describes it as "partial 16S ribosomal RNA". It matches the Rfam family "Bacterial small subunit ribosomal RNA", at positions 1367 to 1482 of the family's 1533-position model. The record is from RNAcentral.